Molecule: unclassified non-coding RNA, 194 nt
Filed under: Phyllozyma dimennae
Lineage: Eukaryota; Fungi; Basidiomycota; Spiculogloeomycetes; Spiculogloeales; Spiculogloeaceae
Description: Phyllozyma dimmennae ITS 2
Source: RNAcentral
ACCCCUCAACCCCCGAUUGCUUAAUCGCUUUUGCGCGGGAUUGGACCGUGGCCGCACUUGGCCGGCGCAAUCGAGCGUCUGGCCCGGCCGAAACGUAUGCGAAGCGCUUUAACCUGUGCGCCGCGACGACCCUGCGUUGUAGACACCUCGUAGAGUCCGAGUCGGUAGACAGGAGCUUCAGCUCUAUAUCAUUA